This 253-nucleotide ribosomal RNA is filed under the name uncultured bacterium. RNAcentral's name for it is "partial 16S ribosomal RNA". It matches the Rfam family "Bacterial small subunit ribosomal RNA", at positions 524 to 776 of the family's 1533-position model. The record is from RNAcentral.
UACGAAGGGGGCUAGCGUUGCUCGGAAUCACUGGGCGUAAAGGGUGCGUAGGCGGGUCUUUAAGUCAGGGGUGAAAUCCUGGAGCUCAACUCCAGAACUGCCAUUGAUACUGAGGAUCUUGAGUUCGGGAGAGGUGAGUGGAACUGCGAGUGUAGAGGUGAAAUUCGUAGAUAUUCGCAAGAACACCAGUGGCGAAGGCGGCUCACUGGCCCGAUACUGACGCUGAGGCACGAAAGCGUGGGGAGCAAACAGG